Molecule: ribosomal RNA, 273 nt
Filed under: Bacillus cereus
Lineage: Bacteria; Bacillati; Bacillota; Bacilli; Caryophanales; Bacillaceae
Also listed under: 1 other name
Description: partial 23S ribosomal RNA
Rfam family: Bacterial large subunit ribosomal RNA
Source: RNAcentral
GAAAUUUGAGAGGAGCUGUCCUUAGUACGAGAGGACCGGGAUGGACGCACCGCUGGUGUACCAGUUGUUCUGCCAAGGGCAUAGCUGGGUAGCUAUGUGCGGAAGGGAUAAGUGCUGAAAGCAUCUAAGCAUGAAGCCCCCCUCAAGAUGAGAUUUCCCAUAGCGUAAGCUAGUAAGAUCCCUGAAAGAUGAUCAGGUUGAUAGGUUCGAGGUGGAAGCAUGGUGACAUGUGGAGCUGACGAAUACUAAUAGAUCGAGGACUUAACCAUAUAA